Molecule: ribosomal RNA, 351 nt
Filed under: Sesamia sp. SEZAG6579
Lineage: Eukaryota; Metazoa; Arthropoda; Insecta; Lepidoptera; Noctuidae
Description: partial 12S small subunit ribosomal RNA
Source: RNAcentral
AAAAUUUAAAAUAAAAAUACUAAAAUAGUAAGUAAAUAUUUAUUGAAACUUAAAUAAUUUGGCGGUAUUUUAGUUCAUUUAGAGGAAUCUGUUUAAUAAUUGAUAUUCCACGAAUAAAUUUACUUAAUUUAUAAUUUUGUAUAUCGUUGUUAGAAAAAUAUUUUUUAAUAAAAUUAAUAUUUAAAAAUUAUUAUUAAAAUUAAAAUCAAAUCAAGAUGCAGAUUAUAUUUAAGAAUAUAAUGGAUUACAAUAAAAUUAUUUAAAUGAAUUUUAAUUUGUAAUAAUUAAUUGAAAGUGGAUUUAAAUGUAAUUUUAUUUAAUUUAAUAAAAUGAUUAAAAAUUAAAAUAUGU